AGUAGAAUAAGCUAAAUUAAGCUAUUGGGUUCAUACCCCAAACAUGAGAUUUCCUCUUCUACUA
This 64-nucleotide transfer RNA is filed under the name Oasisia alvinae. RNAcentral's name for it is "tRNA-Met". Lineage: Eukaryota; Metazoa; Annelida; Polychaeta; Sabellida; Siboglinidae. The record is from RNAcentral.